RNAcentral lists this ribosomal RNA (482 nucleotides) under uncultured bacterium. RNAcentral describes it as "partial 16S ribosomal RNA". It matches the Rfam family "Bacterial small subunit ribosomal RNA", at positions 30 to 507 of the family's 1533-position model. The record is from RNAcentral.
AUUGAACGCUGGCGGCAUGCUUUACACAUGCAAGUCGAACGGUAACAGGCCGCCAGGUGCUGACGAGUGGCGCACGGGUGAGUAAUGCAUCGGAACGUGCCCAGUCGUGGGGGUUAGCUACUCGAAAGAGUAGCUAAUACCGCAUACGAUCUAUGGAUGAAAGCGGGGGACCGUAAGGCCUCGCGCGAUUGGAGCGGCCGAUGUCAGAUUAGGUAGUUGGUGGGGUAAAGGCUCACCAAGCCAACGAUCUGUAGCUGGUCUGAGAGGACGACCAGCCACACUGGGACUGAGACACGGCCCAGACUACUACGGGAGGCAGCAGUGGGGAAUGGUGGACAAUGGGCGCAAGCCUGAUCCAGCAAUGCCGCGUGCAGGAAGAAGGCCUUCGGGUUGUAAACUGCUUUUGUACGGAACGAAACGGCUCUGGUUAAUACCCGGGGCUAAUGACGGUACCGUAAGAAGAAGCACCGGCUAACUACGUG